Non-coding RNA from Leptonychotes weddellii (Weddell seal), 1433 nucleotides. The record is from RefSeq and is a predicted model, not a curated record. NCBI's taxonomy places the organism in Eukaryota, Metazoa, Chordata, Mammalia, Carnivora, Phocidae.
CCCAAGGGGCUGGCGCUAGGACACGUGGACCCCAGGGUGCUGCAGAGUGCGGGGACCAGGUCCUGUCCACGGAGCCGGGUCUCCUGAGCAGAGCGCAGCCCACCUGGAUGUCCACGCUGUCGCCGGGCCCCCGGUCCUCGUCGCUGGAGCCGCCGUCCAGGUCCUCCUGCAGCCUCAGCACCUUGCGCCGGCGCCCCCCGCCCUCCUCGUGCUGCCGCUUCAGGUGGUACAGAGCCCUGCGCUCACGGCGCUCCUGCAGCCGACGGUAGCUGUCGCCUGGUGUCGCGGCCUGCGCCCGGGCCAGCAGCCCGUGGUCCUCCAACAGCUCCUGGGGGGGGGGGGGGGGCAGGUGAGGGACACAGGGCCUGCCACCUGCCAGCCCCUCUGUUUUAGAGGACACGGGACGUCAUGUCUGUGUGACACAGAGAAAGGGGCCCCUGCCUUUCACUACCCUCUCAGGGUCUGCAGGCCAACACAAAGUGAGAUACCGAGAAUGGCCUGAACAUCCGCGGUCCCCGAUCGGGGGGAGGCUCCUAAAAUUGCAUGGUAGGCCGCGGUCGGGUGACCACCCCCUCCGGGCCUCAGUGUGGCCAUCUGCAAUCACGGGCAGUGAUGACACCAGGGACUCGCCCUGUCCUAAAGGCUCUUCGUGUAUUAACUCAUUUAAUCCUCAGAGGACGGCACGGAGGCUGAGGCCCAGGGCCGUGCAGGAACUUGCCCAGGAUCGCACUGCUAGUGAAUGACGGAGCUGGGACUUGCCACUGGGACGUCCGCUCCGGAUCUGAUGUGCCAGCCAUCGCCCCCUGCUGCCUCCCAGAGCUCAGCACCCCUGCUCCAGGCGGCCAGGUUCUUCGUGAGGAUGUAGCAUGUGACCGCUGACCCUGUCCACUUCUCCAGGAAGCCCUCCUGGAUUUCCACCCCCUUUGACUCACCCAGGCCACCCCACGUCUGAGUGUCUGAGGGUUGCAGGAGCCUCCCAGCUUUGGUCCCGAGCCUCACCUUGAACUGGCGCCGCAGGUUGGCCAUCUCGUACAGCCGGUGCUCCUCUAUGCCCCGCUGGCGGCACCACUUGCGUCUCAGCGCCACUGCCCCCUCCUACAGGAAGCCCUUGCAGACCACACGGGGUCAGACAUCCCCUCUGGGCUCUCCCAGCCCCCUGGACUGCCUACCACAGCCCAUUCUUGGUGGUCACAGUCCGGGGACAAGUCUGCCUCUCUGCACGGGACUGUGCAACCCAGGAGGGCAGGGCCACGUGCUUUUAGUCACCACCAGUCCCCAGCACUGCCCGGCACAGGGCCAGGCCCAGAGCAUGUGCUGGAUAUACACGUGCCACCCUAGGAGUGUGUGGCCCUCCCCUGGGUGGCAGGGCUUUUAUUCAGCGCUUUAAAAACUCCAGCCUCGGGGGCGCCUGGGUGGCUCAGAUGGUUAAGCGU